Molecule: long non-coding RNA, 292 nt
Filed under: Prunus persica (peach)
Lineage: Eukaryota; Viridiplantae; Streptophyta; Magnoliopsida; Rosales; Rosaceae
Description: long non-coding RNA (PPER_LNC004752)
Source: RNAcentral
CUUAGGGCUAGGGUUUCGUAGAGAAUAUGAUGAGUUUAUUCUCUACCCAACUUUGUAGGGAUCGAGUCGGACUUGAUAAUAUCUGAAUUAAAUGAUAUUAUCUCUUUUUAUGAAGAUAAUAUCUAAAUUAAUGAUAUUAUCUUCUCUUUAUUAGGAUAAUAUCUAAAUUAAUGAUAUUAUCUUAUUAAAUAAAGAUAAUAUCAUAUUAAUUAAGAUAUUUAUCCCUAUUAAUUAAUUGAACCAGACUAUUAAUUAAUUGGCCAGAUAAACUGGUUCAAUUAAUUAAUUUAAG